GCCCGGUUAGCAUAAAAGUAAUGCAACCGUUUAAUCGGUUUAAGUAAGUGCGAUACUUGCACUGGGCU
This 68-nucleotide transfer RNA is filed under the name Trichophyton mentagrophytes. Its description in RNAcentral is "tRNA-Thr". The record is from RNAcentral. Lineage: Eukaryota; Fungi; Ascomycota; Eurotiomycetes; Onygenales; Arthrodermataceae.